UCUUGUAUAACCAUCCAGUGUUAGCUUGUCUUGUUCAACUAUCCAGAGCUAGCUUGUCCUGCAUAACCAUCCAGAGUUAGCUUGUACUUGUUCAACCAUCCAGUGUUAGCUUGUACUUGACUUGUCUCCUAUCCUUAAUGUUUCCAAUCUUCAAAUGUUGUUUUUUUUCUUAGUUCAAGUUUUUAGGUGAUGGUUUUAAGGUUUUUAAAUGAAUUUUAACAAUGUAAACAAUAUUUAUAACAAAUUGUAACUUUGGUUAUUGUUUUAAUUCAAUUGGUCUGAGUAUUUGUGAGAACUAGUAAAUCAAUUGUUGAAUAUCUUUAUGACACUUUUAGUUAAGUACAAAUAAUUUAUUUUUUGUUCUAAGUGGAUGACAUACCAAUAGUUUGUAGUUUGCAUUGACCUGACUUCGCUGAAUCGUAUUUGGAUUUGGUUUUAUGAAUGUGGCAUGAUGUACAAGAAGAUAACUGUCGUACAUCAUUGUAUGCUUCCAGAUUAAUUUAACAAACAUAUUAGUCUGUUGGUCAUCACACAGAUCUGUAAUGGGUCUUUUUCAUGUAGCUGUCUUCAGCAGAGAGACAGGCAGUAUUUGAAUAGACUAACUUGAUUACAUGAAAAUAAAAACUUUCUUUUCAAAUAGCUGGAUCUGGAGAAUGCAAAUGUUUUAUUAUUUGAGGAAAUGGUGAUUGAUGACAAAAUGUGAUGUUGGUUUGUUAGCCUUUUAUUAUGGCUCCAAGGUGAGAUCAAUGUGCCAUUGUAUUCUAUGUCAGGGUUUUUGCAAAUAUUGUUUUGUGUUUUUGGCUUUGAUUUUUUUUUAGCUUGAAAUAUCCAACACUUAUACUUUUUUGUCUGCAAAUUGUAUUGAAGCCGUGAUAGAGUGACAUCUCUAGAACAGAAUGCAAGAAUAACUUAUCAAAUUCAAUUAAAUAAUAAAGAUGAAGGUAUUAGUAAGUAGCUGAACUCCUGAUGCUUUAAGGACACUGUUAACUGAUUCUGACUCUUAUGAACUUAUUCUAACAAAUGAUUUAGAUCUAGUACAGAAUUGACCAGGUGUUUUAUUUCAAUGUAUUUUUUUCUUACAUUUUGUUUUGUUCUCUAGUUGUCAUCAAUACACAGAUAUGUAGCAGUGAGUCUGCUUUACUUGUGAUCUUGAGUGAAAAAACAUUCCAGUCGCAUUUGGUCAAAUCUCCACUCACAUCCAUCUCUGUGUUAUCUUCCUAAGAUAUAGAUACUUAAAUCGACUGUAUUGCCUCCCUGUACAAGUCCACAGCUAAUGUACAAUUUUUUUUUUAUUUCAUCAAUCCAAAAAAAAAAAAAAAAAAUUCUAUAGAAGUGGGUUGUCAAUAGAUUUUAUGGGGAGAAUCUGUGAUGGAAUCUGACAGAAAUAACACACUCUUGUCAAAAAAAUCCCCCCCCCCCCUCC
Molecule: non-coding RNA, 1423 nt
Organism: Biomphalaria pfeifferi
Lineage: Eukaryota; Metazoa; Mollusca; Gastropoda; Planorbidae
Source: the annotation of a GenBank genome assembly